AUGCCUAAUCCUAGGGAAGUGGAUCGUGCUCUGUUUGUGGAAAAUGUGAGACUAAAGCAGUGUGGAGUUUCAGUUAAGUUUUCUCCUUGGUCUGAAGAUAUUGAAUCUGAGGGCCUGUUGGAAAUUGCUUGGGUUCGAAUUGGGAAGAUCCCUCCGAACAAGAGAUGUGAUAGGACGGUGGCCUAUGUGGGUGGAUUAGUGGGUAUUACUCUUGAGGUAGAUGUGUCUACUAUAAAUCGUUCUUUGUCUGUUAGAGCCAAAAUUGGAUGUCGCUCUGUUGAUUAG
This 285-nucleotide ribosomal RNA is filed under the name Triticum aestivum (bread wheat). RNAcentral's name for it is "partial small subunit ribosomal RNA". Lineage: Eukaryota; Viridiplantae; Streptophyta; Magnoliopsida; Poales; Poaceae. The record is from RNAcentral.